GAGGUUCGAAGGCGAUCAGAUACCGCCCUAGUUCUAACCAUAAACGAUGCCAGCCAGCGAUCCGGCUGUGUUCCUCAAAUGACACGCCGGGCAGCUUCCGGGAAACCAAAGCUUUUGGGUUCCGGGGGAAGUAUGGUUGCAAAAUUCAAACUUAAAGGAAUUGACGGAAGCGCACACAAGGAAUGGAGCCUGCGGCUCAAUUUGACUCAACACGCGGAAAUUUACCAGGUCCGGACACAGGAAGGAUUGACAGAUUGAGAGCUCUUUCUUGAUUCUGUGACAAGUGGUGCAUGGCCGUCCCUAGUUGGUGGAGUGAUUUGUCUCGUCAAUUCAGAUAACGAUCGAGACUCUAGCCUACUAAAUAGACGUUCCGAUCAUCCUAGUCGGACGGUCUUCUUAGAGGGACAAGCAGCGUCUAGCUGCACGAGACAGAGCGAUGACAGGUCUGAGAUGCCCUUAGAUGUCCUGGGCCGCACGCGCGCUACAUUGAAGGAAUCAGCGUGUGCUUUCCCGGUCCGACAGGAUUGGGUAACCCGUUGAACCUCCUUCGUGCUUGGGAUAGAAAGCUGUAAUUGUUUUCUUGAACGAGGAAUUCCUAGUAAGCACGAAUCAUCAAUUCGUGCUGAUUAAGUCCCUGCGCUUUGUGCACACCGCCCGUCGCUGUUAGCGAUUGAGUGAUUUAGUGAGGCCUUCGGACUGGCGCACGGAUUGGCCUUCGGGUCGAGCCGUCGUGCCGGAAAGAUGACCAAACUUGAUUACUUAGAGGUAACAAAAGUCGUAACAARGUUU
This 789-nucleotide ribosomal RNA is filed under the name Lasaeola prona. Its description in RNAcentral is "bacterial SSU rRNA". It matches the Rfam family "Eukaryotic small subunit ribosomal RNA", at positions 1004 to 1822 of the family's 1831-position model. The record is from RNAcentral. Lineage: Eukaryota; Metazoa; Arthropoda; Arachnida; Araneae; Theridiidae.